GUAAGUAGAGCGUUAUAAAGCGAAACUGCGAACGGCUCAUUACAACAGAUAUAAUCUACUUGUUCUAUGACUUAAAUGGAUAACUGCGGUAAUUCUGGAGCCAAUACAUGCGAACAGCUGCGGCCUUCGGGUUGCAGUGCUAUUAUUGGAGCAAAACUAUUCGUUAGUCCUUUUGCUAACUCUGGAUAAUACUGCGUAUCGCACGAUCUUGUGUCGGCGAAGUUUCAUUCGAGUAUCUGCCCUAUCAACUGGUUGGCAGUGUAUUGGACUGCCAUGGUUCUAACGGGUAACGGAGAAUCAGGGUUUGACUCCGGAGAAUCCGCCUUAAAAACGGCGAAUAUGUCUAAGGAUAGCAGCAGGCGCGAAAAUUACCCAAUAUCAAUACGAUGAGGUAGUGACGAGAAAUAACGAGUCCGUUCUCUCUGAGGUCGGACAUUGGAAUGGGUACAAUGUAGACAAUUUAACGAGUAUCUACGAGAGGGCAAGUCUGGUGCCAGCAGCCGCGGUAAUUCCAGCUCUCGUAAUACAUAGAAUUAUUGUUGCGGUUAAAAAGUUCAUAGUUGGAUUGUUGAACCGUUCGGGGUGCGUCUUAACGGGCGUCACUCGUGGGCGGUAUUUUGCGCGUUU
Molecule: ribosomal RNA, 627 nt
Filed under: Aphelenchoides sp. TG102006
Lineage: Eukaryota; Metazoa; Nematoda; Chromadorea; Rhabditida; Aphelenchoididae
Description: SSU rRNA
Rfam family: Eukaryotic small subunit ribosomal RNA
Source: RNAcentral